CUACGGGAGGCAGCAGUGGGGAAUAUUGCACAAUGGGCGCAAGCCUGAUGCAGCCAUGCCGCGUGUGUGAAGAAGGCCUUCGGGUUGUAAAGCACUUUCAGCGAGGAGGAAGGCAUUAAGGUUAAUAACCUUAGUAUGACGUUAUCGCAGAAGAAGCACG
This 160-nucleotide ribosomal RNA is filed under the name Ewingella sp. FBT1-15. RNAcentral's name for it is "partial 16S ribosomal RNA". It matches the Rfam family "Bacterial small subunit ribosomal RNA", at positions 339 to 494 of the family's 1533-position model. Lineage: Bacteria; Pseudomonadati; Pseudomonadota; Gammaproteobacteria; Enterobacterales; Yersiniaceae. The record is from RNAcentral.